AUACGUAGGUGGCAAGCGUUGUCCGGAUUUAUUGGGCGUAAGGCGAGCGCAGGCGGUUUUUUAAGUCUGAUGUGAAAGCCUUCGGCUUAACCGGAGAAGUGCAUCGGAAACUGGGAGACUUGAGUGCAGAAGAGGACAGUGGAACUCCAUGUGUAGCGGUGGAAUGCGUAGAUAUAUGGAGGAACACCAGUGGCGAAGGCGGCUGUCUAGUCUGUAACUGACGCUGAGGCUCGAAAGCAUGGGUAGC
RNAcentral lists this ribosomal RNA (247 nucleotides) under uncultured bacterium. RNAcentral's name for it is "partial 16S ribosomal RNA". It matches the Rfam family "Bacterial small subunit ribosomal RNA", at positions 523 to 769 of the family's 1533-position model. The record is from RNAcentral.